RNAcentral lists this ribosomal RNA (467 nucleotides) under Faxonius virilis. Its description in RNAcentral is "partial 12S ribosomal RNA". Lineage: Eukaryota; Metazoa; Arthropoda; Malacostraca; Decapoda; Cambaridae. The record is from RNAcentral.
ACACUGACGACAUGGUUCUACAGAAACCAGGAUUAGAUACCCUAGUACACUUAAAUUUAAUUAUUAAACACUAGAAUAUUAGAAGUUAUAUUCUUUAAAUUUAAAAAAUUUGGCGGUGUUUUAGUCUAGUUAGAGGAACCUGUUUUAUAAACGAUACAACACGCAUUAUUUUACUUGUCUUGGUAGAUCAGUUUGUAUACCGUCAUUAUAAGAUAAUUUAUGAGAAAAUAUUAUUGAAACCAUAUUAUUGAGUAUAUUAGAUCAAGGUGCAGCUUAUAGAUAAGUAAACAUGGGUUACAAUAAAAUUUAUUUUAAUAUGAAUUAAGUAUUUAAAUAUAUUUAUGAAGGAGGAUUUAAUUGUAAGGAGAGGUGUAGUGAGAUUUUCUGAUAAAAGCUCUAAAUUAUGUACUAUCGCCGUCGCUAGACCAAGUCUCUGCUACCGUACUCGUCUCUACUGAGCGGGCUGG